GAAAGUUUAUGGCUUCAUGUUUAUAUAUCUAAAUUAUUUAUGAAUACUCUUGAGAAGUCAUUUUCCUUAAUUUGCGUAUCAAAUACCGAAAAAUGAAUAAGAUUACUACUUGUUUUCCACGAAAAAUAUUUUUCGUCAUACCAAACACACCCUUAGUGUCAGCUCACGUCCAGCUCAUAAGUUAAUUGUUAGUUAGUUAGGCUAAUUACUUGUACACUAGGGGUGUGCAUUCGAUU
This 236-nucleotide long non-coding RNA is filed under the name Nicotiana benthamiana. Its description in RNAcentral is "long non-coding RNA (NBEN_LNC029319)". The record is from RNAcentral. Lineage: Eukaryota; Viridiplantae; Streptophyta; Magnoliopsida; Solanales; Solanaceae.